UACUCGAGUGGCGAACGUGUGAGUAACACGUGGGUGAUCUGCCCUGCACUUCGGGAUAAGCCUGGGAAACUGGGUCUAAUACCGGAUAGUAGCCAUUUUAGUGUGAUGGUUGGAAAGUUUUUCGGUGUAGGAUGAGCUCGCGGCCUAUCAGCUUGUUGGUGGGGUAAUGGCCUACCAAGGCGGCGACGGGUAGCCGGCCUGAGAGGGUGGACGGCCACAUUGGGACUGAGAUACGGCCCAG
This 241-nucleotide ribosomal RNA is filed under the name uncultured Actinomycetales bacterium. RNAcentral's name for it is "partial 16S ribosomal RNA". It matches the Rfam family "Bacterial small subunit ribosomal RNA", at positions 88 to 334 of the family's 1533-position model. The record is from RNAcentral. Lineage: Bacteria; Bacillati; Actinomycetota; Actinomycetes; Actinomycetales.